AAGUGUGUUGGCAGACUAGUGCAAUUGAUUUAGGAUCAAUUUAUGGAUAUAAUCCACACACUAUA
This 65-nucleotide transfer RNA is filed under the name Megascolecidae sp. MPL-2014. Its description in RNAcentral is "tRNA-Leu". The record is from RNAcentral. Lineage: Eukaryota; Metazoa; Annelida; Clitellata; Crassiclitellata; Megascolecidae.